UACGUAGGGUGCGAGCGUUGUCCGGAAUUAUUGGGCGUAAAGGGCUCGUAGGCGGUCUGUUGCGUCGGGAGUGAAAACUCAGGGCUUAACCCUGAGCCUGCUUCCGAUACGGGCAGACUAGAGGUAUGCAGGGGAGAACGGAAUUCCUGGUGUAGCGGUGGAAUGCGCAGAUAUCAGGAGGAACACCGGUGGCGAAGGCGGUUCUCUGGGCAUUACCUGACGCUGAGGAGCGAAAGCAUGGGGAGCGAACAGG
This 253-nucleotide ribosomal RNA is filed under the name uncultured bacterium. RNAcentral's name for it is "partial 16S ribosomal RNA". It matches the Rfam family "Bacterial small subunit ribosomal RNA", at positions 524 to 776 of the family's 1533-position model. The record is from RNAcentral.